GUGGGGAAUAUUGGACAAUGGGCGAAAGCCUGAUCCAGCCAUGCCGCGUGUGUGAAGAAGGUCUUCGGAUUGUAAAGCACUUUAAGUUGGGAGGAAGGGCAGUAAGUUAAUACCUUGCUGUUUUGACGUUACCGACAGAAUAAGCACCGGCUAACUUCGUGCCAGCAGCCGCGGUAAUACGAAGGGUGCAAGCGUUAAUCGGAAUUACUGGGCGUAAAGCGCGCGUAGGUGGUUCAGCAAGUUGGAGGUGAAAUCCCCGGGCUCAACCUGGGAACUGCCUCCAAAACUACUGAGCUAGAGUACGGUAGAGGGUAGUGGAAUUUCCUGUGUAGCGGUGAAAUGCGUAGAUAUAGGAAGGAACACCAGUGGCGAAGGCGACUACCUGGACUGAUACUGACACUGAGGUGCGUAAGCGUGGGGAGCAAACAGGAUUAGAUACCCCGGUAGUCC
RNAcentral lists this ribosomal RNA (450 nucleotides) under uncultured bacterium. RNAcentral's name for it is "bacterial SSU rRNA". It matches the Rfam family "Bacterial small subunit ribosomal RNA", at positions 354 to 796 of the family's 1533-position model. The record is from RNAcentral.